RNAcentral lists this ribosomal RNA (640 nucleotides) under uncultured marine eukaryote. RNAcentral's name for it is "SSU rRNA". It matches the Rfam family "Eukaryotic small subunit ribosomal RNA", at positions 617 to 1256 of the family's 1831-position model. The record is from RNAcentral.
GGUUAAAAAGCUCGUAGUUGGAUCUCGGCGGUCCGUGGGCGGUUCGCUUGAUUGAGUGCUACUGCUCUAUAGGCCGUGGUUUUGCCAGAGGUCUCGGGGUGCUCUUAACCGAGUGUCCUGCGAUGCUGGCAGGUUUACUUUGAAAAAAUUAGAGUGCUCAAAGCAGGCUUUUACGCCUGAAUAUUCGUGCAUGGAAUAAUAGAAUAGGAAGUCGUUUCUAUUUUGUUGGUUUUCGGAAAUCGACUUAAUGAUUAAUAGGGACAGUCGGGGGCAUUUGUAUUCAAACGACAGAGGUGAAAUUCUUGGACCGUUUGAAGACAAACUACUGCGAAAGCAUUUGCCAAGAAUGUUUUCAUUAAUCAAGAACGAAAGUUAGAGGUUCGAAGGCGAUUAGAUACCGCCCUAGUUCUAACCAUAAACGAUGCCAGCUAGCGAUCUGCCGACGUUUUCUUUGUAGACUCGGCAGGAAGCUUCCGGGAAACCAAAGCAUUUGGGUUCCAGGGGAAGUAUGGUUGCAAAGCUGAAACUUAAAGGAAUUGACGGAAGGGCACCACCAGGUGUGGAGCCUGUGGCUUAAUUUGACUCAACACGGGAAAUCUCACCAGGCCCGGACGCUGGAAGGAUUGACAGAUUGAUAGCU